CACAGAGCCCGACCUGGGGCUCGAACUCACAGACCGUGAGAUCAUGACCUGAGCUAGAGUCGGCCGCAUAACCGACUGAGCCACCCAGGCGCCCCGACCACGUGGAUUUCUUAUCACCGUAGAGAGUGUUGCCACCGGAGACUGGAACGAUGUAAAGUGAUGAGACUCAGCCUCCAGCCCCAGCCCUGCCCCUUAGCAGCUGAGUGGCCAUGGCCCAGUCCCCUCCCCUGUCCCACCCAUACCCUCCUCAGGAAAGUGGGGACACCAGCACCGUGGGGCGAACUCACGGGAUGAUGUCUGUCCCCGCAACCUGUUUGAAAUCCAAAACGAACGCAUUUAAUCCACGCGGAAACGUCCGACACCGAGCCCGUUGGUAAAUGCUUUGUUGGUAAAUCAAGGUCAAGGGAUGCAGGGCGUUAGGCGGGUGGGAUUUGUGUGCCUGGCUGCGUGUUGGCCUAAGACACGCUCCCUGCGAACGUGCCUGGCUUGCGAGACGGCUGAGCACUCCUUGAAGGCAAUGGGGACCGAGCCCCAAAGAACCUAGGCGGGGAUGCUUUAGGCCCUCUUGACAAGGAGGGCUGGAAAACCCUUUCCAAGUUGGUGAUGAUGUCCUCAACCAGGUUCGCUUUGCCUGCAUGCCACGUAGCUUGACGCGGAAAAACAAACAAAACCAACAGAAGACAAAAGCCCCAUUCUGGAGAGCACGGGGUCCGAUGGCCUUUCCGCGAGAAGCCUGGCUUGGGCUUGGGAUUUCAGGCCGGUUUGUGAGGGAAGAAAAGGGCCUGGUCCCAUGGAAAUUUCCUAGUAGGGUUUAUUUGGAAGCGAAGGUUUGGCAGCGCUGACCCAGUCUCCUUGGCUAGACAGAGCCUCUUUGGAGAGAGUCAAAAACAACAGGAUGGAAAUGGUUCUUGAAUGAGCUGGUGUUAGUGGAAUCCUCUGCCUCCGAAAAGAACUGCCCGAGCCCAGGCCCGGCUUCCCUCGCUCGAUGGAAUUCAGCUCCACUCACCUGUGGUCAGCAAAACAACCCCCCCCCCCCCCCCCCCGCGCCAGACGUCCUUGCCCCAAUUCCCGGAACCCGUGAGUAUGUGACCUCACACGGCAAAAGGGACUUUGCGGACGCGACUGGCUUUGGGACCUUGUGAUACGGAGGUCGUCCUGGGUGGCCCAGAUGGGCCCAAGGUAACCACUGAGUCCUAAAAUUCCAGAACCUUUCCAGCUGGGAUCAGGGAAAGAGAAGAAGGCUCGGGAAGAUACUUCCUGGCUGUGAACACCGCUGCAAGGGCCAGGAGCCCAGGAAAACACCCAGCUACAAGCUAGAAAGGCAGGGAGUGGGGUGGUCCCCUGGAGCCCCCUUGAUUGAGCCCAGUGAGACCUGUGCUCAACUUCUGACCUCCGGGAUGCGGACAGUCGGCGUCGUUUGAGCUGCUACGUUGGCAGAAACUGGUUCCAGAAGCAAUAGAAAAUCGAACCGUCCCCUUGUCCGGGCGCCUACUGUGUGCCUGCUGGCUGGGAGGAGGUCCCUAAUCCUCUCGGCCGCUCAGGCCUUGCAGCUCGCGAUCGUGUCGCCGCGGAGGAAGCUGAUGCUCAGUGACGUGACCUCCAGAGGCCCAAGCGGGGAGUCCAGCCGCCCUGAGCCCCCGGCGGCUCCCAGGCAGGAUGGGCGUGCGAGGGGGACAUUUUCUUCUCGGCUGCCGCUGUGAAGCUGUGAGGAAGGCCGGGAACCAGGGCGUUCUGCCAGACGCCAUCCUGGUGGAUAAAGGCCACGAGGUUCCUGCUGGCGGGACGGGAGGCAAGGCCCCUGGCCCGUCGCGUAGACCCUGACUGCUGGCUGUGUGACCUCAGGCUGGUCCCCAAACCUCUCUGGGCAGUGUGUUCUUUGGACCCCACGCGGGGCCAGCCUCCAGGGAGCGCGUGAGCCAAUCCGGUCCCGGUCCAGGGGACUGGCCGGGCUGGUGCUGCCGUGGGGUCUGUGCACGUGGCCUGGAAGUCACACGGGGCCCUCUCGACAAGGUCAAGCCAUGCUGCGAUCCGAUAGGCAAAGGCACCUGUUUCUUUCUGCCGGGAGUUCCUGCUCUCACCGCCUGUCCUUGACUCGGCCUGGGUGCGGGGCUGGCGCUGGGAUGCUGGGCUCCGUCCCCGGGUCACGGCCCAGCCCUGGCCUGGCUUUGCCAGCGGGCAGCUGGCUGACCUCUGGCCGGCCGCCCCCGGGAGGGAAACACGCGGAACGUAUGUUUGUGAGGGCGGGUGGGACAGCCCAGGGGUCCCCGGCUGUGCCUGGCUCUCCCCCCUCCCCCAAAAUGGCCAGGGGGGCCGUCAGCAUGAGAAGGACGUGUCCUUCAGAAAGACAGGUUUACCCCCAAACCUGUGAGUGCCCUGAUUUGGAAAUAGGGUCUUUGCAGGUGUCCGGGGGAAUGGGGUCGUGCUGGAUUAGGGUGGGCCUCGAUCCAGUGACGGGGUCCUCGUGAGAAGAGUGGAACUUGGACAGACACACCGGGAGGAGGGCAAGUGACACUGGAGGUGUAGGUGGAGGUUGGAGUGACAGGUCGGCAAGCCCAGAGACGCCGGGACUGCCGGGGGCGCCCGAAGCCGGGGCAGCGAGCGAGCAUCCCUGAGAGAGAGGGCCACCUGCCCGCGCCUUGACCUUAGACCCCCCGCCUCCAGAACUGCGCCUCCGCUGGGCUGAGCUCCCAGCUGGUGGCCCUUUGUUACAACAGCCCCGGGACCCGCCCGCGCCCACUGCCGCUGUCACCCUCCGGUCACCGCUCAGACGGACGCGAGAGAACGUGCUGGUCUCCUCCCAUCUGAACCCGUCCAAGGGCAAGGCUGGCCUCUGUCCACAGCUUAAGGGCUUCCUCCGUUGUUGGGGGCUAAGCUGCUCUUUUCUGAAGGGAAGGCGGCCGGCGACACCCCGUUUCCCAGAUGGAAAAACCAAGGCUCUCGGGGGGCUCCCCACGCCCACGCCGUCGCUCAGCUCUCCACAACCGCGUCUCCCGCUGCCCGCCCGGGUCAGCCUCCUUCCCGCCCAGAUGUUGGACCGAGUCCUCGGAGUUCCCGGCAGAGGGGAGAGGUCAAGAAAUUUCCGAGCUCAAAUGAGGACAGCCGCCUGGCUCUGUGACCUGCUUCGUGGAGAGCCUGGGAGGCGACUGUGGGGCAGCGAGCUGGUCGGUGACUCCAGCCCGGGCAGCGCGACCCGUUUCCCUGAGCUCACACCGCCCUCGGCCCUGUCGAAACAGAAGCGGGCUCCGUCCAGGCCUGAGGUUGUGGCCGCUGGACGCCUGGAGGCCGACUGGUCAGCCCAGCCCAAGCCGCACCGCCACUGAGAGCCACCAGAAGCCACAGGAGCCUCCCCACCCAGCGCUCCCGCCCCUGGGCUGGCCGCCCGCACAGGGACCCGGCCACCAAGGUGACGUAAGCGGCAGAAAUUGGUGCUCCUGGAGUUCUGUGAGCUGCUUCCGGAUGACCAGCGAAAGGCACGUGUCUGAGACAGAAGGGGUGCGUGAGCCUGAGCAGAGGAGAUGGGGUUCCAUCCGAGGAGGCACAGACCCUCUUCAGCAGCUGAAAGACUGAAUGAGAACCCGCAGUCUGGCUUACGGCGCCCGUCAGCCGAGACGACCGUGGGAUACAGAGCCACCAACAGACACGAGCCCUGAAGACUGUAAUUCACAAAUCAGAAGCCCCCGCCCCCGAGGUUUAAAACCACUGUUUUAAUGCUGUCGAAAGAACCUGUUUUCAAAUGAAGCUCCACAGGGACCACAAGCACCUGGCCGUGCACGCCGAUGGCCGGAACGUCUCCGCUGAGCCUGCAGGCCCUCCUGCCCCACUCAGCGGCCCUCCGCGUCCCCUCCAGGCUCUGCAGCAAGCCUGGAUCCAGGGUCUGCGGGGGACUCCUGGCUGAGCUGUAAGGGCCUCAACCGCUCUGCUUACCUAGAGGAGGUCUCACACCUCAGAGAAAGAACCUCAACCCCAACGCACAGGUUCUGAAUCCAGCGGCCUUCGGGACGUCGAGGACCGAUGGCAGUUCACGGCGUCAGGUCUUUAUUCUGAGGGAAAUUGCUCCCACACGGAGCCCAAUACAGCACCUUGGUUUUGUCGACACCGCACAAUACACCCGGGCCGGGCUCCCUCCCUGACCCCUGAGCCCGAGCCGAGGACACCUCGCUUGCGCAGUCACUUCCUCCCGGGUCAACGACCCACACCUGGUGGAACCAGUGCGGUCACUAAGGAGCUCUCCCUCCCUGCCGCACAGACAUGCAGGACCUUGACCCUCUCCAGGCUAGAAAGAUGCUAGCCUCGGCUUCUGUGUGUAAUUACAGAACAAGUAGCGAACUGUGAAGCUAGAAAGAACUCAGAGAUCAUAUCUAACCUCAAUUUAGCCCACUGAAGUUCAAGUAGUUGCUUCUGGUCAAAAGACAACGGAAAAGAUUAGUUACGUGGUGAAAUCUAGAACCAGAUCUCCCAGCUGUCAGUCUGAUCUGCAGAGAAACAAAGCACUUAAACCAGGAGGGACUUGACAAAUCACUCAGGGACACCUCUACAUUUGCACAAACAGCCCGAUGGGAUGGAUUUUCAUUUCUGCACGGAAACCCCACUUUGAGCAAUGUUUAUGCUCCAGUUCAGACAUGAAGCAAGCAGGGUGCCCGCUGGGUGCGGUUGGGGAGGCGCGUGACCCCUGAUCUCGGGGUCACGAGUUUGAGUUGCAUGGUGGGCGUGGAACCCGCUUUACAUAAAGAAACAGGGGCGCCUGGGUGGCUCGGUCGGUUCAGCGUCCGACUCGACUUUAGCUCAGCUCACGACCUCGUAGUUCACGAGUUUGAGCCCUGCGUUGGGCUUUGCGCUGACAGUGUGGAACCUGCUAGGGAUUCUCUCUCCCCCUCUGCUUCCUUUCUCCACUUGUCUUUGCUCGCACACUCUCUCUCUCUCUCUCUCAAAAUAAACAAAUAAACUUAAAAAAAAAAAAAACCCAACACAAAAAUGCUACACGUCUGUACCAGGAGUUAAUAAAAGCCCGAGGUCAGAGGAACAGCACCUUCGCCACGGGGUCUGUGGUGCCCCACGACCAGACACGAGAGGGGAUGAAGGGCGACCGUGGGUACUCACG
Felis catus (domestic cat) is the source of this 5098-nucleotide long non-coding RNA. RefSeq lists it as uncharacterized. The record is from RefSeq and is a predicted model, not a curated record. The transcript is spliced from 4 exons. NCBI's taxonomy places the organism in Eukaryota, Metazoa, Chordata, Mammalia, Carnivora, Felidae.